RNAcentral lists this long non-coding RNA (4628 nucleotides) under Macaca mulatta (Rhesus monkey). RNAcentral's name for it is "lncRNA (ENSMMUG00000051307.1)". The record is from RNAcentral. Lineage: Eukaryota; Metazoa; Chordata; Mammalia; Primates; Cercopithecidae.
AUGCCCGCGGCCGCUUCUCCCACGAGGCCACCUGCUGGUGCCCGGAUCCAGCGGACCGCCGGGGCUGCAGCGGGAGCCCCCAGUGGACCUCCCCCAGCCCCACCACACACACGCAACCUCCCACCCCAUUCCCGCCCCGGCGCCCCGCGCAGCCGCCGUUGUUUAAAGGGGCCGCAGCCUGACUUCCAGGUGGGGAGCGCGAGUGGGCCCGGCGCGGCGGGGCCAGUGCGCAUGCGCGAGGCGCGAGCGGCCUCUCGCGUCACAGCGGUUCCCACGGUUGUCUUAGAAACCGGCCCCCUGAGGCUUGGCAAAGCAGGAGCCCUCCGUGGCGGUGCUUGGGUGUCGGGGCUGCGAGGCUCCUGCCUCACCUCUCCACGGGGUCGACAGGAACGUCUCCGGACGGACGCCGGGAGUCGCACCGCGCCGGCCAGGAUGACAAAAGCGCAGGCGGAGUCCGGGGGAAGCGGCGCGUCGUCCCAGCCUCAGGCCUGCCCGGACGGUGUUGGGGUGAGUCUCCCCAAAAGUCUUGCCCCCGCGAUCUCCACCACGGGUCCGCCCGCCUGUCCGUGGGCUGCUCUCUCCCCCGAGGGGCCUUCACGCGCGGAGCGGGAGCCUGCAGCGUCAGGGGGGCUGUGUGCCUGCGGGGGCUGCGUUUCUGUGCCGCUGCUGCCGUGUGACUGUGUGUGUCUGCGUCUCUCCCAUCCUCUCUUGUCUCUCUGGCCCUCACUCUCUGUGUGUGUCUUUCCCUCUUUCUGCCGGUUCGUGUGUGCGUGCCCGUGUGCGUGGGUGCGUUCGGACGAAUGCGCCCGGUGCGCCCAAAGGCGACUGCUUGCGCGUCGGCCUGGCUCUGCCGAGCCUCUUUCUUCUGCCUCUGUGCCUGGGUCUUGCGGCGGGCUCGUCAGUGGUUUCCGCCGCCGUUCCACUUGGGGUCCUCCUCCCUGAGGGCCUCGACCGCGUGAGGAGAUGCGUCUUCCCCAGCAGCAGUGGAAAUCUCGUUACCCUUGCCGAGCGGACUCUCUCCUGGGAUCAAGAUAACCACAGUCCAGCCAGGGCCAAAAGCCCCAGAGGGGCUCGUCGCCCUGCAGGAGAGGAGCAGACCCGCCUCAGAGGAGACGCUUGUACCUUUCACGGCUCUUCUCUGAGAAAUGAAGCCGCACCACGGCAGAAGCUUGAAGAGGAAGCCGGGAAGGGGAGAUGCCAGGCCUCCCGGUCCCUGGAAGGCUGGCCUCUCCGGACAAGUCAGCCGUUGGGCAACCCUCCCCUUAGGCCCGCGGCGGUGGCACCGGGCAGUGUCGGCCUGGGCUCCGGCCUCUGCUCUGUCCUCCCUCUUGCUCUGUCUCCCCUGUCUCUCGGGGCCUACACGCUGUCGGUCUGGCCGAACGUCUUGGACGCAGAUGGCUUCCCAGUCGGUCAGGGAGACACUCCUCGGAGAUCCGUGUGGUGACGGUUUCUCUCUCCAAACCUGUUUCUGCUUGCUUGGGCAGGUUCCAUGACCCUGGAGCUCCUGGCUCCCAUACGUGUCUCCCACAGGGAAGCUGUCUUGCUCUCCCUGUUUCACCUCAUGGCUGGGUGGCCUGCCUAGCAUGAGCGCUAGGCGACCGUGACCGGCCUUGUCUUCUUGGACAGGCGGUGCGGCACUUCCCCUCUGCACUUCCCCUCUCGUUCUUGAGGCACAGCCUCUCCUCGGCUCCUCUGAGCAGGUGGACUGACUCCCUGAAUCUUCUGGCUCCCUCCUGGAUCCCAGGCGUUCUUUGAUUUCCCUUGGAAUCCACGGGCAGGUCCCUUGGGACCCUCUUCCACCCGGGCACAGGCCUGGACUCCGCUGUUGGUUUCGCCGUCGCCCCGUACGCCCGGGCUGACACGCAUUCACAUCGUCUGCUCGGGGAUCGGCCAGUGCCACGCGUGGGGCCAAUGGCUCCGCCGCGGAACCGCCCCUGUCCCUGUUUGCGCAGGUCCUGGAAAGCAGAGGCAGCUUGCGGGAGCCCCGGGGCUUUUGCAAGCGGGGCUAGGCCGCCGCUCUUUCAGUGAGGGAUGGAGGCCGAGGGUCCUGCACGCUUUUCAGUCUGUCUGAAUGUCUUCAACAUGGGACAGUUUCCAUUUCAUCAGGAGAUACUUCCUAGGCGUCCGGAUCUUGAUUGCUUUCUUCUCUUGUGGUAUUUCUUAUUGUUUGGACCGGUUUUAUUACCCUGGAGCUCUGGACCUCAUACCUUUCUGGGAGGGGGGACUUCCAUUGAUCUCCAUGUCUCAAGUGAUUGCUGCCUGGUUUGUCCGAGACCAGCGUGAUGCGACCCCUCCGUGGCUGACCUUUGCCUGCCAGGAAAGGCAAUGUUGCAUCCCUCCUGUAAUUUUUCGCUUAUUUCUGAAAUCCUUUCGGUUCCCCUGCUCCUUGGCAAAGUGCCUUCAAGCACUGAAUCUUUUGACUGCCAGGGAUUUCAAGUCUCCCAAGGGAUUGGGUUUUGCUGGUUGUCAGGGGAGGUGGUGUCAGGGGAACCACCUGGUGGUGGGCUGUUUGUGGGGUAUACUUUUUCAAAACGUCUCGGCCCCUCUGGCAGGCAUCCCUGCCUGUGGCUUGGACUCUAGCACAGGUCCUGUCUCUCAGGUUUUCAGGUGUGCUUGGCUUUUCCUCAACUUUGUGUGGGAGAUCCCAGUGGCCCCUGGGCACAUGCCUGGACCUCACUGUCUGCCUCAGCAUCGUCCCAGAUGACCUCAAAGACACACACUCACUCCAUCUGCUCUUGGGGGAAGUCAAUGCCAUGUGUGUUCACAUUGGCUCUAUCUUGGCCUCGCCUUUGUCUCUUGUUGCAUGUGUUGGGGUAAGCUGUGUCGGGAUUUUGGAGUCCCCGGGCCUUGGAGACGAAGGUAAACCCCUGCCCUACUCAGGAAGGAGGGAGUCAAUGGACCUAUGGGCCAGUUUAUUCAGCCAACAGCAGGCCAUGCAACUCUUGGGAUCUUUCUGUGCCCCAGCGAGGCCCUUCCGGCCUCACUACAUUGUAACCCCAUUCCUGAUCACCCGGUCGGAUCCAUUAUUGGAUUCGAAGAGGUGUCCAGAGAGCCCAGCGGGCAUCCCGAAGCUCCUCCUCCACCGGGAACCAAAGCAGAAAACCAAUCAAGAAGGUCCUGACGAUAGGACUCCUAUGGGUCUGACCCUGGCUCUCGCGCAGGCCCCUCUCCUAGUCCUCUUCCCACUUGCCACCUCGGACUGCUCCGCUGCUACCACCGCGGCCCCAGUCCCCGCGUCGCGUCGCCACCAUUUUUUAAGGGGUCCCCAGCCUGACUCUCUGGAGCAAAGGGGGAGUCAGCCUCGCCAGUGCUCAUGCGCGAGGCCUGAGCCGCCGUUUUGGUCACAGUGAUUGACACCAUUUCCUGGGGAUGGUUCCCUGAGACUUGGCGAAGUAGGAGCCCUGUGUGAUAGUGCGUCAGAGUCGGGGCUGAGAGCAGUCCUGGCCAGGGCGUUAACAGGAUGGUCUCCAGAGGCCGGGAUUCACGGAGAACCAACCAGCAGGAAGAAACCCCAGGAGGAAGAAACCUCCGGCUGAUCUCCGGGGAGGCAGCGCGAGAUCCCAGCCUCAGGCCAGGAUUCGUGGAGCGUCAAGGAGGCCUCUUUCCCAAUCUUCACUUCACCUGCCACCGCCUCAGUCCCCACAGCCCCCGCUCCACCAUAUUUUUUUUUAUGUAGUCAGUGUCUCACUGUCACCCAGUCUGGAGUGCAGUGGCGAGAUCUCAGCUCACUGCAAAGUCUUCCGCCCGGAUUCAAGGGAUUCUCUUCCCUCCGCCUCCCGAGUACCUGGGGUUAGAGGGAUUAGUCAGAGUCAGGGCUAAGACCAGCUCUCACCAGGGGCAUAGACGGGAUGGUCUUGGAGGCCAGGAUUCACGGAGGGUCGUCCAGGAGGAAGAAACCACGGGCAGAGGGCCGGGGAAGCAGCGCGGGAUCCCAGGCUCAGGCCUGCACCAACUGAUGGUGUGCCAGUGAGUCUCUUCAAAAGAGGAGAGGUUUGCUUGUGUGCCUGUGGGCUGCUCUCUUACCCACGGGUCAUAGUCACAGAGAGCAGAACCCGGCAGCUUCAGGGGCUGCCUGGGAGUGGGUGUUACCCUGCCACUGCCAUACGUCUUUGUGCAUUUGUGUGUGUGCCUGCAUCUCUUCUUUCUCUCUCCUUUCUCUCUCUUUCGCUCUGUGUCUGUGUGUGUGUGUGUGUGUGUGUCCGUGUGUGUGUGUGUUGGGACACAUGUGCCCUGUGUGCCGGAGGGUGGUAUCUUGUACGUUGACCUUCCCUCUGGUCAGCCUCUCCCUGCGUCUCUGCCUGGGGCAUGUGGCCGGUUGUCAGUCGUUUUUCCGCUGUUCCAGUUUGGGUUUGUGAAAGUCUGGAGGAGUUGGGGAGCUGUGUCUAUCUGGUAAGGAUUUAAAUCACCUCUCCACCCUGAGAGGCCUGUUUUCUAGGAUUAAGACCUCUACCCCCGAGCCAAGGGUAGUAAGUCUCACCUGAGAAGUCAUCGUCUCCCUGCAGGAGCGGAGCAGAGCGACCUCAAAGAAGAUGGUUCUCAUUCCUCUCUCUCUUUCAUCUCAUUGAGAAAUCUAGCCACAGGGUAACACAGGUUUUGAAAAGAAGGGAACGGGACCAUGGCAAGGAUCU